CAAUAGCGUAUAUUAAAGUUGUUGCAGUUAAAAAGCUCGUAGUUGGAUUUCUGUUGAGGACGGCCGGUCCGCAUUAUGUGCGUGUAUCUGGUUCGGCCUUGGCAUCCUCCAGGGGAACGUUCCUGCGCUUCACUGCGUGGGACGGUAUUCUGGACUUUACUUUGAGGAAAUUAGAGUGUUUCAAGCAGGCGUACGCCUUGAAUACAUUAGCAUGGAAUAAUGAGAUAGGACCUUGGUUCUAUUUUGUUGGUUCUAGAGCUGAGGUAAUGAUUAAUAGGGAUAGUUGGGGGCAUUCGUAUUUAAUUGUCAGAGGUGAAAUUCUUGGAUUUAUUAAAGACGGACUACUGCGAAAGCAUUUGCCAAGGAUGUUUUUCAUUGAUCAAGAACGAAAGUUAGGGGAUCGAAGACGAUCAGAU
This 416-nucleotide ribosomal RNA is filed under the name uncultured eukaryote. RNAcentral's name for it is "bacterial SSU rRNA". It matches the Rfam family "Eukaryotic small subunit ribosomal RNA", at positions 592 to 1013 of the family's 1831-position model. The record is from RNAcentral.